This is a non-coding RNA of Marmota flaviventris (yellow-bellied marmot), 1085 nucleotides long. NCBI's taxonomy places the organism in Eukaryota, Metazoa, Chordata, Mammalia, Rodentia, Sciuridae. The record is from RefSeq and is a predicted model, not a curated record.
GGGCCCGGCCUGGGCGGAGCUCUAGGGCGCACGCUCGGGAGCAAGGCCUGCUGGGAGUUGUGGUUUCUCCCCUGGGGUCUGUGAGGAGAUCCACGUGCUGCCUAGUGAGCCUCCAGCCUAACGCCGAGCCUGGCCAGGUUUUGGUCCGCUGGCUUAGGGCAAGGUUCUGUUUUUGUUUCGUCCUUUCAUUUCAUAGCCUCCAAAAACGUUAAUUGGGCUAAGGUCGGAGCCCAGAGGAGAGACGUGGAGUUUGUGCGUGGCCUGCACGAGGACUGGAGUGGAUCCCCAGCCCCGUGGUGGCGACGGGAGAAGGGACAAAAGGAAGAGAGAAAGAAAGAAACCCAACGGGGUUCGUAGUAGGUGAUGUUUGUGAUUCAACACGAACCUAACUUGCUUGGUAACUCGUGUUCGUUUUAUUCCACGACCCAGAACCACCUUGUGAGACAGCUGGAUCUGAAUUCGUUUCCCAGUUUCACUCAUGAGGAGACUGAAGCUCAGAGUGUCCAAGGAAACCGGAUGUUGAGUAACCGGAAGCAAGGCCUAGCUGUGUUUGCGCAACUGUCCGAACAGUCAGAACAAUAGAAUUCUUUACAAAUGGUGGCAAUUGGUGGCUUUGGCUGCCUACCAAAAGACAAACUUACAGAUGUUGUGCAAAGUGCCUGGUGAAGAGAAGUAAAAAGAGUGAGAGUAAAAAAUGGUGAAGAUAAGCUUAUUUAAGCCAUUAUUACUCCAGUCUGACAAUUGAUUUCAUCCUACUGAUAAGCAGGCUAAGUGAGGAGGUUCUCCUGCAGGCCUUGAGAAAGUAGCUGCCCUCCUGAGAAGUGCCUUGGGGACACCACACUGUGGGGAACAGCAGAGACCUCCAGAAGCUGAGGGACAGCAAGAAAACGGGGCCUUCAGUCCUGUACUCUGAGGAAAUUCUGCCAACAACCACAUGAACUUGGAAUAGGAUCUUGAGCUCCAAAAAGAAACAGCCCAGCCACUACUUUGAUUGCAGUGUGACCUGAGCAAAGGAUCCAACAGAGUCCAGAUUCCUGACACCGACUGAAACCACGAGACCAGGGAUGCAGCUUGGUUUUGUUUGU